CACGCAGUAAACGAUGGAUACUAGGUAUGGGGAGUAUCGACCCUCUCCGUGCCGAAGCUAACGCUUUAAGUAUCCCGCCUGGGGACUACGGUCGCAAGACUAAAACUCAAAGGAAUUGACGGGGGCCCGCACAAGCAGCGGAGCGUGUGGUUUAAUUCGAUGCAACACGAAGAACCUUACCAGGGCUUGACAUGUUGGAAGUAGUGAAACGAAAGUGGAACGAACUGUCAAAUCAGUAACCUUCACAGGUGC
This 252-nucleotide ribosomal RNA is filed under the name uncultured Dehalogenimonas sp. Its description in RNAcentral is "partial 16S ribosomal RNA". It matches the Rfam family "Bacterial small subunit ribosomal RNA", at positions 796 to 1041 of the family's 1533-position model. Lineage: Bacteria; Bacillati; Chloroflexota; Dehalococcoidia; Dehalococcoidales; Dehalococcoidaceae. The record is from RNAcentral.